This 301-nucleotide ribosomal RNA is filed under the name uncultured bacterium. RNAcentral describes it as "partial 16S ribosomal RNA". It matches the Rfam family "Bacterial small subunit ribosomal RNA", at positions 509 to 807 of the family's 1533-position model. The record is from RNAcentral.
CAGUAGCCGCGGUAAUACGUAGGUGGCAAGCGUUGUCCGGAUUUAUUGGGCGUAAAGCGAGCGCAGGCGGUCAAUUAAGUCUGAUGUGAAAGCCCCCGGCUCAACCGGGGAGGGUCAUUGGAAACUGGGAAACUUGAGUGCAGAAGAGGAGAGUGGAAUUCCACGUGUAGCGGUGAAAUGCGUAGAGAUGUGGAGGAACACCAGUGGCGAAGGCGACUCUCUGGUCUGUAACUGACGCUGAGGAGCGAAAGCGUGGGGAGCGAACAGGAUUAGAUACCCGAGUAGUCCCUGUCUCUUAUAC